AGAGUUUGAUCCUGGCUCAGGAUGAACGCUGGCGGUCUGCUUAACACAUGCAAGUCGAACGGAGUGCUUCGGCACUUAGUGGCGGACGGGUGAGUAACGCGUGAGAAUCUGCCCUUAGGAUGGGGACAACAGUUGGAAACGACUGCUAAUACCCAAUAUGCCGGAAGGUGAAACUUAUAUGGCCUGAGGAAGAGCUCGCGUCUGAUUAGCUAGUUGGUAGUGUAAUGGACUACCAAGGCGACGAUCAGUAGCUGGUCUGAGAGGAUGAUCAGCCACACUGGGACUGAGACACGGCCCAGACUCCUACGGGAGGCAGCAGUGGGGAAUUUUCCGCAAUGGGCGCAAGCCUGACGGAGCAAGACCGCGUGAGGGAGGAAGGCCUACUGGUUGUAAACCUCUUUUGAUAGGGAAGAACACAAUGACGGUACCUAUCGAAUCAGCCUCGGCUAACUCCGUGCCAGCAGCCGCGGUAAUACGGAGGAGGCAAGCGUUAUCCGGAAUUAUUGGGCGUAAAGCGUCCGUAGGUGGUUAUCCAAGUCAGUUGUUAAAGCGUAGAGCUUAACUCUAUAAGGGCAAUUGAAACUGGGUGGCUAGAGUGCGAUAGGGGCAAGGGGAAUUCCCAGUGUAGCGGUGAAAUGCGUAGAUAUUGGGAAGAACAUCGGUGGCGAAAGCGCCUUGCUGGGUCUGCACUGACACUGAG
Molecule: ribosomal RNA, 700 nt
Filed under: uncultured bacterium
Lineage: Bacteria
Description: bacterial SSU rRNA
Rfam family: Bacterial small subunit ribosomal RNA
Source: RNAcentral